AUGUUUGCAUUGAGCUAAGAUUGCAGGCGCGUGAACUGUUCACACCACCAAAAAUGUAUCUUUAGCCAAAUCUGAAUUAAUCUGUUCAGAAUGAACAAGCAGAAUAGUCUUUGGAUUUGAUCCAAAUCCCUGAAGCACUUUGGGAAUGAGAAUGGCUAUGCCAGACAGAGAGACCCUGGCGACUUAUGAUACUGCAGAACACAACAGGCACUUCAGAUUGGUCCCAGUCCUCUACGUACUGAUAUAUAUAUAGAUGCCUAAACCAAAUGGACCUCAUUUCCUUUAAAAUUCUGAUAUCCAAAAUAAGCAGCACCAGUUAAGUUGAGGGAGAGCAGUGAUAUUGAGCAGUCAGCUAAAGAAACAAAGCUGUAGAGAAUUGUGACUCCAAAGGCAAAGAAGGAAGUGCUCCUAAUUUGAACUAAUCUAAUAGUCACAUGGAGGAUUCUGACUGGCCCAUGUGGGGCCUUGUGCUCAUGUUCUAAGGAAUCAUUGUUGCUUGAAGCAUGGACAACUCUGGCCUGACAUGGUCCCUGGCUCGUACCUGUGACAGGACACUGAGGCAAAAGAAAGCAGUAUAGAGAUUUAUUCUCCCACUGGCAUGAAAGCUGUGAUUCUGACCACCUUCUACAUCACUGUCUACCACCCCUACACCAGCUCUUAGAAGACAGAGUAACUACAGGAUGCUGUGGUACCUGGAGUGAUGCCAGACUGCAGAGGCCACCUGGUGACAUGAGGAGAGAUUCAACUUAACAUGGUGAGGAUGGCAGAGUAGAGCUAAAGUGGAAAAAGCAUUUCCCUGAUGAAUUUAAGAAGCUACUGAAUAAAUAUGUCUGGAAGUACCU
RNAcentral lists this long non-coding RNA (842 nucleotides) under Homo sapiens (human). RNAcentral describes it as "RSG2 antisense RNA 1". Lineage: Eukaryota; Metazoa; Chordata; Mammalia; Primates; Hominidae. The record is from RNAcentral.